This 73-nucleotide transfer RNA is filed under the name Stegodyphus mimosarum. It matches the Rfam family "tRNA". Rfam says of the family: Transfer RNA (tRNA) molecules are approximately 80 nucleotides in length. The record is from Rfam by way of RNAcentral. Lineage: Eukaryota; Metazoa; Arthropoda; Arachnida; Araneae; Eresidae.
UCCUUCGUGGCGUAGUGGUCAGCGCGCUGGGCGCGUAUUCCAGAAGCUUGUGGUUCGAAUUCCGGCGAGGGCA